UGCAAGUCGAACGAAGUAGCAAUACUUAGUGGCAGACGGGUGAGUAACAUGUAGGUAUCUACCCUAUGGCCUGGAAUAACACGAGGAAACUUGUGCUAAUACCGGAUAAGUCUUUACAGAGAAAGCUUUAUGCACCAUUGGAUGAGCCUGCACUUGAUUAGUUAGUUGGUAGGGUAAAAGCCUACCAAGACUUUGAUCAAUGGCUGAUUUGAGAGGAUGAUCAGCCACAUUGGGACUGAGACACGGCCCAAACUCCUACGGGAGGCAGCAGUGGGGAAUCUUGCACAAUGGAGGAAACUCUGAUGCAGCGAUGCCGCGUGAGUGAAGAAGGCCCUUGGGUUGUAAAGCUCUUUCGUCGGGGAAGAAAAUGACUGUACCCGAAUAAGAAGGUCCGGCUAACUUCGUGCCAGCAGCCGCGGUAAUACGAAGGGACCUAGCGUAGUUCGGAAUUACUGGGCUUAAAGAGUUCGUAGGUUGUUGAAAAAGUUGGUGGUGAAAUCCCAGAGCUUAACUCUGGAACUGCCAUCAAAACUUUUCAGCUAGAGUUUGAUAGAGGAAAGCAGAAUUUCUAGUGUAGAGGUGAAAUUCGUAGAUAUUAGAAAGAAUACCAAUUGCGAAGGCAGCUUUCUGGAUCAUUACUGACACUGAGGAACGAAAGCAUGGGUAGCGAAGAGGAUUAGAUACCCUCGUAGUCCAUGCCGUAAACGAUGUGUGUUAGACGUUGGAAAUUUAUUUUCAGUGUCGCAGCGAAAGCGAUAAACACACCGCCUGGGGAGUACGACCGCAAGGUUAA
Molecule: ribosomal RNA, 793 nt
Filed under: uncultured marine bacterium
Lineage: Bacteria
Description: bacterial SSU rRNA
Rfam family: Bacterial small subunit ribosomal RNA
Source: RNAcentral